UAGUCCACGCCGUAAACGAUGGAUACUAGGUGUCCGGGAUAUUAACCUCCUGGGUACUACAGUUAACGCGUUAAGUAUCCCGCCUGGGGAGUACGGUCGCAAGGCUAAAACUCAAAGGAAUUGACGGGGGCCCGCACAAGCGGUGGAGUAUGUGGUUUAAUUCGAAGCAACGCGCAGAACCUUACCUACCCUUAACAUUUCACGACGUAUACAGAGAUGUAAUAGUGCUAGCUUGCUAGAACUUUCAUACAGGUGCUGCACGGCUGUCGUCAGCUCGUGUCGUGAGAUGUUGGGUUAAGUCCCGCAACGAGCGCAACCCUUGUCUUUAGUUGCCAUCAUUAAGUUGGGCACUUUAAAGAGACUGCCGGUGACAAACCGGAGGAAGGUAAGGAUGACGUCAAGUCAGCAUGCCCCUUAUGCUCUGGGCUACACACGUGCUACAAUGGCCGUGACAAAGAGUUGCUACUUUGUGAAAACAAGCUAAAUCUCAUAAACGCGGCCUCAGUUCGGAUUGCAGG
RNAcentral lists this ribosomal RNA (518 nucleotides) under uncultured bacterium. RNAcentral's name for it is "bacterial SSU rRNA". It matches the Rfam family "Bacterial small subunit ribosomal RNA", at positions 791 to 1304 of the family's 1533-position model. The record is from RNAcentral.